This 491-nucleotide ribosomal RNA is filed under the name uncultured bacterium. RNAcentral describes it as "bacterial SSU rRNA". It matches the Rfam family "Bacterial small subunit ribosomal RNA", at positions 30 to 518 of the family's 1533-position model. The record is from RNAcentral.
AUUGAACGCUGGCGGAAUGCUUUACACAUGCAAGUCGAACGGCAGCACGGGGCAACCUGGUGGCGAGUGGCGAACGGGUGAGUAAUACAUCGGAACGUGCCCAAUCGUGGGGGAUAACGUAGCGAAAGUUACGCUAAUACCGCAUACGAUCUACGGAUGAAAGCGGGGGAUCGCAAGACCUCGCGCGAAUGGAGCGGCCGAUGUCAGAUUAGGUAGUUGGUGGGGUAAAGGCUCACCAAGCCAACGAUCUGUAGCUGGUCUGAGAGGACGACCAGCCACACUGGAACUGAGACACGGUCCAGACUCCUACGGGAGGCAGCAGUGGGGAAUUUUGGACAAUGGGCGCAAGCCUGAUCCAGCCAUUCCGCGUGCAGGAUGAAGGCCUCGGUUGUAACUAGCUUUGUACGGACGAAACGGACGAGCUCUAAUACAGUUUGCUAAUGACGGUACCGUAAGAAUAAGCACCGGCUAACUACGUGCCAGCAGCCGAC